GACGAACGCUGGCGGCGUGCUUAACACAUGCAAGUCGAACGGAAAGGCCCGGCGUUUGUUGGGUUCUCGAUUGGCGAACGGGUGAGUAACACGUGAGUAACCUGCCCUUGACGUUGUGAUAACUUCACGGAACUGGGGCGCAUAUCGGAGAGGAUCUCCUGCUGCGCGGUGUUGGUAGGUAAAUGUCGGCGUUUGUGUAUGUUCUCGCGGCUUAUCAGCUUGUUUGUGAGGUAGUUGCUUUCAAAGGCUUUGACGGGUAGCCGGCCUGAGAGGGUGACCGGCCACCUUGGGCCUGCGAUACGGAGCAGAAUGCUACGUGAGGCAGCAGUGGGGAACCUUGCAGAACGGGCGGAAGCCUGAUGCAGCAACGCCGCGUGCGGGAUGCCGGCCUUCGGGUUGUAAACCGAUUUCGCCUGUGACGAAGAGUGAGUGACGGUAAUGGGUCAAGAAGCCCCGGCUAACUACGUG
Molecule: ribosomal RNA, 468 nt
Filed under: uncultured bacterium
Lineage: Bacteria
Description: partial 16S ribosomal RNA
Rfam family: Bacterial small subunit ribosomal RNA
Source: RNAcentral